Molecule: ribosomal RNA, 247 nt
Filed under: uncultured bacterium
Lineage: Bacteria
Description: partial 16S ribosomal RNA
Rfam family: Bacterial small subunit ribosomal RNA
Source: RNAcentral
AUACGGAGGGGGCUAGCGUUGUUCGGAAUUACUGGGCGUAAAGCGUACGUAGGCGGAUGCGCAAGUUGGGGGUGAAAUCCCGGGGCUUAACCCCGGAAUUGCCCUCAAAACUGUGCGUCUUGAGACCGAGAGAGGUAAGGGGAAUUCCGAGUGUAGAGGUGAAAUUCGUAGAUAUUCGGAAGAACACCAGUGGCGAAGGCGCCUUACUGGCUCGGACCUGACGCUGAGGUACGAAAGCGUGGGGAGC